GAGUAAGAAUCAAGGAGUAAACUAAUAAUGUGGAUGUCAUUGUGGGAGUCUGCCAUAGACUUCCCUGUCAGGACGAUGAUGCCAACAAAUUAUUCUUUGAGGAACUAAGGGACACUUCCAAGUCAACUGCCCUUGUCCCUGUGGGGGACUUACACUUGCCAGAAAUCAACUGGGAGCAUCACGCAGCUAGUACAACUCAGGCCAGAAGAUUCUUAAAAAAUCUGGGUGAAUCUGGUCCUCAGGGAUCCAACUCAGAAUGAUGCUCUCCUUGAUCUGCUGCUUGUCAACAGAGUGGAUCUCAUGAGAGAAGUGGAGAUUGGGGGCCAUCUUGGUCACAGUGAACACAAAGUGCUGGGGUCCAUCAGUGCCAGUCACUCUUCAAACAUCACCUCCUAAGGGCACAGAAGCAGGCAAUUCCCAAUGUUGGAAGUCAAAUAGAUGAUGAACCAAGGGCAUUUCAGUGCCAUGAGAUGGAGGACUGUGACCGUGAGAAUGACCAACUCCCAGUCAACCUUGAAAUUGUGCAGAUGCUGCUCCAACUGGAUCCCUACAAAUCUACAGGGCCUGAUGGGAUUAAUUCCAGAAUCCUCAAAAAGCUGGCUGAUGACAUCACAAAACCUCUCUCGAUGAUUUUUUGAGCGGUCUUGGGAAGCCAGAAAGGCCCCAGCAGACUGGAAGUCAGUGAACAUUGUCCCAAUUUUCAAGAAGGGCAAAAAGAUGGACCCCAGAAACUACAGGCCUGUCAAUCUCACUUCAGUGCCU
Long non-coding RNA from Neopelma chrysocephalum (saffron-crested tyrant-manakin), 762 nucleotides. RefSeq lists it as uncharacterized. The record is from RefSeq and is a predicted model, not a curated record. The transcript has 3 exons. Lineage: Eukaryota; Metazoa; Chordata; Aves; Passeriformes; Pipridae.